GUUAAUACGAUUUGAUCGAUACUUAUUAUUAGACAAGUAGAUAUUCAAGUUGUUUAAUAAAUGCUUGCUUUGGAAGCAAAGGGUUUAAAGUUAUGUGCCAAAGGGUCAAAAGGGAAAAUUGUUAGACCAGUGAUUCCCGCGGUCAAAUACACCACCAAAGAUGUAAAAAUCCGCACGGGGGUUGCUCCAAUGGCUGGACCCGUGGAUCUCAGCCGUGUGAUACAGAUUUUGGAGGAUCCAUUUUCAAGCACUCUGGAAGAGAGACAUCUUUUUGUCCUGAAGAAAAUGGUGAAAAGAUACCAGAAUGGCUUU
Long non-coding RNA from Anguilla rostrata (American eel), 312 nucleotides. RefSeq lists it as uncharacterized. The record is from RefSeq and is a predicted model, not a curated record. The transcript has 3 exons. Lineage: Eukaryota; Metazoa; Chordata; Actinopteri; Anguilliformes; Anguillidae.